RNAcentral lists this ribosomal RNA (511 nucleotides) under Melanitis phedima. RNAcentral's name for it is "partial 16S ribosomal RNA". Lineage: Eukaryota; Metazoa; Arthropoda; Insecta; Lepidoptera; Nymphalidae. The record is from RNAcentral.
GUCUUUUUGAUAAUAAUUUAAAGUCUAAUCUGCCCACUGAUUUAAAUUAAAGGGCUGCAGUAUAUUGACUGUACAAAGGUAGCAUAAUCAUUAGUUUUUUAAUUGGAAACUUGUAUGAAGGAUUUGAUGAAAUAUAAACUGUCUCUUAUUUAAAAUUAAAAAUUUAUUUUUUAGUUAAAAAGCUAAAAUAAUUUUAAAAGACGAGAAGACCCUAUAGAGUUUUAUAUUAAAUUAUUUUAUAAUUAUUUAUAUAAAUAAAAAUUAAAAAUGAAUUUAAUAUUUUAUUGGGGUGAUAGAAAAAUUAAAAAAACUUUUUUUAAAUUAUUAACAUAAAUAUAUGAACAAAUGAUCCAUAAUUAAUGAUUAUAAGAAAAAAUUACCUUAGGGAUAACAGCGUAAUAUUUUUUUUUAGUUCACAUAAAAAAAAAAGUUUGCGACCUCGAUGUUGGAUUAAGAUAAAAUUUAAAUGCAAAAGUUUAAAAUUUUUGAUCUGUUCGAUCAUUAAAAUCUU